RNAcentral lists this long non-coding RNA (6976 nucleotides) under Capsicum annuum. RNAcentral's name for it is "long non-coding RNA (CANN_LNC006098)". Lineage: Eukaryota; Viridiplantae; Streptophyta; Magnoliopsida; Solanales; Solanaceae. The record is from RNAcentral.
CUUGUCCUAUCCCAAACACUUUCUUCUUCUGCUUUAUUCUCAGUUGGUGUUUUCUUUGGAACAAGUUGUCCCACCCAGGUGUACUUGUCCAUAAAUUUAUAUUUCCAGUCUUGCAGAAUUUCAAGUUAAGCGUCACUAAGGCCUUCGAGGCUCCCAUUAAAAUCUUCAGGUUUGAAUGAUAACUGAGCUAAUGCUCAGCUUGCAUCUCUUCUAACAAACAUUGAAUAUGAACCACCAGGACCAUAGAACAUCUUGGAGGUAGAUACAGUGUAGAUCUUUCCUUUGAUAGCCAUCGAAAAUGGUUUUUCUGAGUCAGAGCCAUUAUAAGCUCUAAGUUCCUCUUUCGUCAUGUCACCAAGGUUGAGAGACUGUCUUUUGAUAGGAACAAAGUCAUCACUAGAGAAGAACAUGCCACAAACAACUUUGUAAGUCACAACCAUCAACGCUACGAUGGUGAAGAACGUUGUCGACCAUAACCCCGUGUACUGUAAAAUGAUCUCUGCCGUUGUCGUCCAUACCGCCGUUGUCAUUCUUCUCUUUUUAGUUUGGUGGAGAAAGAGGAAAAAUAAGUUGGAAUGCCUACCAACUUUUGAGCUACAAUGCACUCCUAUACUUACUACUACACUACAACCCAAAUACUUUUCCAAUAUCAAACUAGUUCAAUCAGCUAACAAUACUAUUACUACAUCAAGCAAAAAUCAAAUUUUUUUCUAGUUACUAAUGAUGUUUCAUAGAGUAAAGUAAUACAAUUCAAAUUAACAUUCUAACACUCAAAAUAGUAUAAUUCCAAGAUAUCAAAGACCCCCCCACAUAAAAGAGCAGCAAGAAUUUGCAGUCAUGGAUGACUGUCUUUCUGUAGUCCAUGUUGUUCAACAAUUUUAAUCUCUUGCAGCAUAUCUGCUUUUGAUGCCUUUAGCACUUGUCGUAUCCCAAAACUUUCUUCUUCUGUUUUAUUCUCAGUUGGUGUUUUCUUGAGAACAAGUUAUCCCACCCGAGCGAACUUGUCCAUAAAUUUAUAUUCCCAGUCUUGCAGAAUUUUAAGUUGAGCGUCACUAAGGCCUUCAAGGCUCCCAUUAAAAUCUUCAAGUUUGAAUGAUAACUGAGCUAAGGCUCGGCUUGCAUCUCUUCCAGCAAGCAUUGCAUAUGAACCACCAGGACUAUAGAACAUCUUGGAGGUAGAGACAUCGUAGAUCUUUUCUUUGAUAGCCAUCAACAAUGGUUUUUCUGAGUCAGAGCCAUUAUAAGCUCUAAGUUCCUCUUCCGGCAUGUCACCGAGGUGGAGAGACUAUCUUUUGAUGGGAACAAAGUCAUCAGCAGAGAAGAACAUGCCACAAACAACUUUGUAAGUCACAACCAUCAACGCUACAGUGGUGAAGAACGUUGUCGGCCAUAACCCCGUGUACUGCAAGAUAAUCUCUGUCAUUGUCGUCCAUACCGCCGUCGUCAUUCUUCUCUUUUUAGCUUGAUGGAGAAAGAGGAAAAAAUAAGUUGAAAUGUCUAUCAAAUUUUGAGCUGCAAUGCACUCCUAUACUUACUACUAUAAUUAGCUAACAAUACUAUUACUACAUCAAGCAAAAAUCAAAUCUUUUUCUAGUUACAAAUGAUGUUUCAUAUAGUAAAUGACCUACCAUAGUAAAACAAUUCAAAUUCACAUUUUAACACACAAAAUAGUAUUAUUUCAAGAUAUCAAAGACUCACCACAUAAAAGAGCAGCAAGAAUUUGCAGUCUACUCUCCUGCAGCAUAUCUACUUUUGAUGCUUUCAGCACUUGUCCUAUCCCAAACACUUUCUUCUUCUGUUUUAUUCUCAAUUAGUGUUUUCUUUAAAAAAAGUUGUCCCACCCAGGCGUACUUGUUCAUAAAUUUAUAUUCCCAGUCUUGCAGAAUUUCAAGUUGAGCGUCACUAAGGCCAUCAAGGCUCCCAUUAAAAUAUUCAGGUUUGAAUGACAACUGAGCCAAGGCUCGACUUGCAUCUCUUCCAACAAACAUUGCAUAUGAACCACCAGGACCAUAGAACAUCUUAGAGGUAGAGACAUCGUAGAUCUUUCCUUUGAUAGCCAUCAACAAUGGUUUUCUGACUAAGAGCCAUUAUAAGCUCUAAGUUCCUCUUCCGUCAUGUCACCGAGGUGGAGAGGUUAUCUUUUGAUGGGAACAAAGUCAUCAGCAGAGAAGAACAUGCCACAAACAACUUUGUAAGUCACAACCAUCAACGCUACAGUAGUGAAGAACGUUGUUGGCCAUAACCCCGUGUACUGUAAGAUGAUAUCUGUCAUUGUCGUCCAUACCGCCGCCGUCAUUCUUCUCCUUUUAGUUUGGUGGAGAAAGAGGAAAAAAUGAGUUGGAAUGCCUACCAACUCUUGAGCUGCAAUGCACUCCUAUACUUACUACUACACUACAACCAAUCAAAUACUUUUCCAAUAGCAAACUAGUUGAAUCAGCUAACAAUACUAUUACUACAUCAAGCAAAAAUCAAAUCUUUCUCUAGUUACUAAUGAUGUUUCAUAUAGUAAAUGACUUACCAAAGUAAUACAAUUCAAAUUAACAUUUUAACACACAAAAUAAUAUAAUUCCAAGAUAUCAAAGACCCUCCACAUAAAAGAGCAGCAAAAAUCUGCAGUCAUGGGUGGCUGUCUUUCUGUAGUCCAUGUUCUUCAACAAUUCUACUCUCCUGCAACAUAUCUGCUUUAGAUUCCUUCAGCACUUGUCCUAUCCCAAACACUUUCUUCUUCUGUUUUAUUCUCAGUUGGUGUUUUCUUUGGAACGAGUUGUCCCACCCAACCAUACUUAUCCAUAAAUUUAUAUUUCCAGUCUUGCAGAAUUUCAAGUUAAGCGUCACUAAGGCCUUCGAGGCUCCCAUUAAAAUCUUCAGGUUUGAAUAUAACUGAGUUAAGGCUCAGCUUACAUCUCUUCUAACAAACAUUGCAUAUGAACCACCAGUACCAUAGAACAUCUUGGAGGUAGAGACAUCGUAGAUCUUUCCUUUGAUAGCCAUCAAAAAUGGUUUUUCUGAGUCAAAGCCAUUAUAAGCUCUAAGUUCCUCUUUCGUCAUGUCACCAAGGUUGGGAGACUGUCUUUUGAUGGGAACAAAGUCAUCACCAGAGAAGAACAUGCCACAAACAACUUUGUAAGUCACAACCAUGCUACGAUGGUGAAGAACGCUGUCGACCAUAACCUCGUGUACUGCAAAAUGAUCUCUGCCGUUGUCGUCCAUACCGCCGUCGUCAUUCUUCUCUUUUUAGUUUGGUGGAGAAAGAUGAAAAAUGAGUUGGAAUGCCUACCAACUAAGUUUUGAAAACACUUUUAAAAAACAUUUUUUUUUGAGUCUAUCCAAACGAGCUCUAUAUCCUGAAAUAUAAAUAAUCAUUGUAAAUUUACUUUAUGCCUUAGUAUUCCAAAAUUCAGAAGCUUCAACCAUAAAUCGCACCCCAUACAGUCGGUAGAGUUUACAAAAAUGUCAGUUGCUAUCAACUUAAAAUUAUGAAAAUCGAAUUAACCUGAGAAAUUAGACUUUUAAAUCGAAGUCCAUGUUUAUAUCCUGAUAUAUUGCUUCUAGCCCCAUAAUGUUUUAUCCAGAGUUGAUUCCUAUCAUUAUUAUUUAGUGUUCUUUUUGGCCAUUCUACGUGCCAAUACAUUCCACAUAUUAAUCGUGAUCGUCCUUGAGCAACUAUAUCACCUCAUUUUACUUAUUGACCAUCCUUGAGCGACUAUAUCAUCUGCUAAUGUAAGUUCGAAGACACAUUCUCGCACUCCAGUGAAGCACUAGAAAUGUGCAAAUACCAUCCGAAUUGGUGAGCCUAUCAAUGAUGAUGUUUAGUUACUUACAGUCAAAAUAUUGCCAAGGUCUUGUCACGACUUAGACAAAUCUUAUUUUGCUAGAAACUUCGUAGACUGGAUUUUAAAAAAUAUUUGUUAUAAUGUUUUAUUCAAAGUGAGAAUUCUAUUUCAUUUAGUUUAAAAGACUUUCCUUGAUUUUCAUUGUACUUCCACACUUGAAGUCAGAUUACACCUUCCUGAUCCGACAUGCCCAUUGCGGUCAGAACCUCAGCUCGAAUCCUGACACCUAUCAAGUUUACAUAAAAACCAACCAUUUGUGCAAAGGACAGACUAUAUAAAAUUGAAAGUAAUUAUCUUUUUCAUGUGUAUACUAAUAAAUGUUGUAUUGUCCUAACUUUUGUGUGCAGACAUACAAGAUAACUUUUGGUCUCAUAUGUCCCAAGUGAAAUUAAACAUGGUAAGAAGUUUAGAUUGCAAGUUCAAGACCCAUCAAUUUACAAAAAGCUAAACAUAAUCAUGUUAAAGAUGAUGGCAACUUGUCAAACUCCAGAAUCAAUACACAUCCAACCCAACAUUGUAGAAUUUGUGAUCCUUCAAUUAUUAUUCAUGCAAACACAACUUCAUAAAUUAAAUUAGUAAGAGAGUAUGUAUCAUUGUUUACUGAACCGUUCCAUCAUGAGGGGUCAAGUGGUUCACCCAAUAACAAUGCAAUUAUAAUAUCCCUGAAGUUUACGAGAGAUCCAUUCACAAAUUAAGGCAAUAGAUCCCUGCUUUUUUCAUCAGGUUUUGUAAAUCUAUAUCAAAAAAAAAAAAAGAACUAGUACUACAUUGAGAAUACGAAGCUCAGAAGCUGAGCGUAACAAGCAAAUUUCAUCGAAGAUCCAAGCUUUAAAUAGAUCUCCUUACAUGUUGGCACCUCAUCACCGCAAAACAAUUUGAUAGUUAAAACAAUUUGGCUACUUUAAAUUUGAAGGAAUGUUGGGGGUAAACAACAACAUCCUCCAAUCGUGAUAAGUAGCAACGUAUAGGCACCGUGCAAAAGGUAAUUUCUUACGGGAAUAAGAAGAAAGUACCUGUUGUCUGAGAAAUGCCAUAUACAAAAUAGAGCAACAAAUACAAAUAUAUCCAAGAUAUUGUGUCAAGAGAGUAUACAAUAACUCAAAUGGAUCUUCAUAUUGUAUAUUAAUUCAUUUAGGCUUCAUGCUGCAGACGGGUUACCAUUAACCGGCACCGGCUGCAGACUCUUUUUUGAAGCCCAGUCAUUAAAGGAUUUCACAAUGCAGAUCUUUUUAAACAAUUUUUCUCACAAUAAUGUUUACUUUGAAGAACAAAAUGACACUAAGUGAACCAAUCAAAAACUACUGAGUUUUGUAUUUACUCUAAUAAAAUGGAUUUAGAGAUUACAAGUAACAUAGAUUCAUCUAUUAAAUGUUUACUCAAAUUCACUUUGUGAACUAAAAAAUUCUUUUGUACUGCAAGUCCGCAGGUGCAAACUAAAAUAUUAAACUACUUUAUAUUUGCAAUUUAUCAACAAUAUUAGCAAGAGUUUUUCCAAUGUAAAAUCAUACGACAACAACAACAUACCCAGUAUACUCCCAACAUACCAAGGUCUGUGGAGGGCAAGUAAAGUGCACACAGUCCAUACCACUACCUCCAAAGAAUUAGAGAGACUGUUUCCGAUAGAUCCAUAGCUCGAGACAAAAGAAACAAUAAACAAAGCCAAAAUAAAACAUAAAACAAGAUGAAAUGAAAGAAAUAAGACACCAACAGAGCAACUAUACACUAUUUAACCAAAAGCACACACCACACCCAAACCUCCAAUCUAAGAGCAUAGCUCUACAAUUACUAGCAUGACUACACCAAAGCAAUUCUAUCUACUAGCUACAACACACUCCCACAAACUAGCCCUCUAACCUAAUUCGCGUACUUCAUACCUUCCUAUCUACGGUCAUGUCCUUAAUAAGCUGUAAUUGCUCAAUGUCAUGUCCAAUCACCUCCCUCCAUUGUAAAUUCAUGCAAAGUACAUAUGUUGAUGAUCCAAGUUUUUAACACUAUUCUCCCGUAUGGGCAAAUACAACUAGCCAAAAUGCUAAUUGGAAUUAUUCUCCACUUGUGCUAUAAUUCAACAAAAAAGAGCUUAACAUACCCUUGACCAAUUCAAAUUGGGACAAAAUUACCCUCCAUCACAUCUAUUAGACCUCAAAUAUUCAUUAAUAUUAUUAGAAAUCAUAAUUUGUAAAACAAUCAGCAUACAAAAUGCUUAGGAACAGAGAAAUAACAAAGCUGCUCAGAUAUUGCAAUUAACUAAUCAUGUAUUUAACAUAAGUCCAGACAUAAUUUUAGCAAAUUCAUCACUGCAACCAGAUAAAACUACAAAACUUAAUUAAUAAAUACCAAAAUUUGUUAGUAAUAAAUAAGAGUAGCAAUCAACUCUCAGAGAAAUUCCAUAAAUGGAAGUUUGUGCAGACAAUCAACAUGGCAUCGUUUGAAUCGUGUGAAAUGUACAAGCACAUACUUUAAUGGAGGUCCACUAGAGAAACGCACGAACUACUUACAUCGCAUUUGUUUCUCUGAAUUAAAGAGUGUACAGAUAGAGCAGCAAGAAUCUGCAGUCAUGGGUGGCUGUCUUUCUGUACUCGAUGUUCUUCAACAAUUCUACUCUCCUGCAGCAUAUCUGCUUUUGAUGCCUUCAGCACUAGUCCUAUCCCAAACACUUUCUUCUUCUGCUUUAUUCUCAGUUGGUGUUUUCUUUGGAACAAGCUGUCCCACCUGGGCAUACUUGUCCAUAAAUUUAUAUUCCCAGUCUUGCAGAAUUUCAAGUUGAGCAUCACUUAGGCCUUCAAGGUUCCCAUUAAUAUCUUCAGGUUUGAAUGAUAACUGAGCUAAGGCUCGGCUUGCAUCUCUUCCAGCAAACAUUGCAUAUGAACCACCAGGACCAUAGAACAUCUUGGAGGUAGAGACAUCGUAGAUCUUUCCUUUGAUAGCCAUCAACAAUGGUUUUUCUGAGUCAGAGCCAUUAUAAGCUCUAAGUUCCUCUUCCGUCAUGUUGCCGAGGUGGAGAGGCUGUCUUUUGAUGGGAACAAAGUCAUCAGCAGAGAAGAACAUGCCACAAACAACUUUGUAAGUCACAACCAUCAACGCUACAAUGGUGAAGAACGCUGUCGGCCAUAACCCCGUGUACUGCAAGAUGAUCUCAGUCAUUG